CUCGCAAGAGUGAACUAGCUAACUGAAAUCAUUAUGAGUCAUUAAUUUGGUGAUUAUGAUAACAUAAGGGAAAAAAAAUGAUAUUACCUUAUUAUUAGUGUUGUCCAAAACUGGUGCCAGAAGACUCGGUAAGACCAGAGACGCAAACGUUAGUCAUCUUAAUCAGGCGUAAAGGGUGUGUAGGCUGCUUUAAAAGUUUAAAUCUUUUUAAUAGCUCUUUUGCCGUUGUCAUACCAUUAUUUUUUUGUUUUUGUUUUUUGUUUUAUAAAUAAUAAACAAAAAUGAAUAUAAAGGUAGUACAUUUUAUAAAUUUAAUUAAUUUAAUUAAUUUAAUUAAUUUAAUUUUAUAAUUAUAAAGGGGACAAAAAAGAUAUCCCGGUUUAAGUAAAAAGAAUAAAAUGAAUUAAAGCUAGGAUCAAAUUGAGGAUAAACCAAAUAAUACUUAGAGUAGGGCCGAUAUCCGCAGAUACUAAGGGGAAUACUAAAGGUGAAAGCUUUUUAUCUACUAUUGAUUGACGCUGAGAAACGAAGGUGAGAACAGGAAAUAGGAUUUGAUACCCAGAUACCUCUCACUGUCAACGAUGAAUGGUGGUUGUUAGUUUUAAUAAAAACUGGUAACGAUGUUAACACGAUAACCAUUCCGCCUUGCGAGUACGGUUGCAAAACUGAAACCAAAAAAAUUAGUCGUUUCGAAGCAAACGAAGUGAAGCAU
RNAcentral lists this ribosomal RNA (712 nucleotides) under Tricholoma bakamatsutake. RNAcentral describes it as "partial small subunit ribosomal RNA". It matches the Rfam family "Bacterial small subunit ribosomal RNA", at positions 374 to 940 of the family's 1533-position model. The record is from RNAcentral. Lineage: Eukaryota; Fungi; Basidiomycota; Agaricomycetes; Agaricales; Tricholomataceae.